GACGAACGCUGGCGGCGUGCUUAACACAUGCAAGUCGAACGAAAAGAGGGAAAGAGCUUGCUCUGUCCGGAAGGGAGGGGGAAACGGGUGAGGAACAAGUAAACAAAGGGGAGGCAGGAUGGGGACAACAGAAGGAAAAGAAGGAUAAUACCGAAGAAGGGACAAGGGCCGCAGGGACCAGGGAAGAAAAGGGGGGCGAGAGGGGGAAGGGAGAGCGGGAAGAGGGGGGGGCGGCUGAUUAGCUGGUUGGAGGGGUAACGGCCCACCAAGGCGCCGAGCAGUAGCCGGUCUGAGAGGAUGAACGCCCACACUGGAACUGAGACACGGUCCAGACUCCUACGGGCGUCAGCAGUGGGGAAUCUUCCGCAAUGGGCGAAAGCCUGACGGAUCAACGCCGCGUGCGUGCUGACGGCCUUCGGGUUGUACAACUCUGUGAUCCGGUACGAAACCGCACCGUGCGAAGAACAAACUGCAUUGACGGUACCGGAAAAGCAAGCCACGGCUAACUACGUG
This 513-nucleotide ribosomal RNA is filed under the name uncultured bacterium. RNAcentral describes it as "partial 16S ribosomal RNA". It matches the Rfam family "Bacterial small subunit ribosomal RNA", at positions 28 to 507 of the family's 1533-position model. The record is from RNAcentral.